This 1716-nucleotide ribosomal RNA is filed under the name Legionella pneumophila. RNAcentral's name for it is "partial 23S ribosomal RNA". It matches the Rfam family "Bacterial large subunit ribosomal RNA", at positions 1228 to 2925 of the family's 2925-position model. Lineage: Bacteria; Pseudomonadati; Pseudomonadota; Gammaproteobacteria; Legionellales; Legionellaceae. The record is from RNAcentral.
GUAGGGGAGCGUUCUGUAGGCUGAUGAAGGUGCAUUGAGAAGUGUGCUGGAGGUAUCAGAAGUGCGAAUGCUGACAUGAGUAACGAUAAUGUGGGUGAAAAGCCCACACGCCGGAAGUCCCAGGUUUCCUGCACGACGUUAAUCGGAGCAGGGUGAGUCGGCCCCUAAGGCGAGGCUGAAGAGCGUAGUCGAUGGGAACCAGGUUAAUAUUCCUGGACUUUUUAUAAGUGGUGAAGUGGGGACGAAGAAGGCUAGGUGAGCCAGGCGUUGGUUGUCCUGGUACUUGCAUGUAGGGGGGAAGACUUGGCAAAUCCGGUUUUCCAUAACUCUGAGGUGCGAAGUGGUUCUGACCUUUUGGUACAGAGAAGUCAUUGAUGCCCGGCUUCCAGGAAAAGCUGCUAGCCAUAACUUAUAGAGAACCGUACCGCAAACCGACACAGGUGGACAGGUAGAGAAUACUAAGGCGCUUGAGAGAACUCGGGUGAAGGAACUAGGCAAAAUGGUACCGUAACUUCGGGAGAAGGUACGCCCUUUUGGGUGAGGGCAUUUACUGUCUGAGCUUAAGAGGGCCGCAGAGACCAGGUGGCUGCGACUGUUUAUUAAAAACACAGCACUCUGCAAAUUCGUAAGAAGACGUAUAGGGUGUGACGCCUGCCCGGUGCCGGAAGGUUAAUUGAUGGGGUUAUCUUCGGAGAAGCUCUUGAUCGAAGCCCCGGUAAACGGCGGCCGUAACUAUAACGGUCCUAAGGUAGCGAAAUUCCUUGUCGGGUAAGUUCCGACCUGCACGAAUGGCGUAACGAUGGCCACACUGUCUCCACCCGAGACUCAGUGAAAUUGAAAUCGCUGUGAAGAUGCAGUGUACCCGCGGCUAGACGGAAAGACCCCGUGAACCUUUACUAUAGUUUUGCACUGGACUUUGAUGAUGACUGUGUAGGAUAGGUGGGAGGCUGUGAAGUGAGGACGCUAGUUCUCAUGGAGCCGCCCUUGAAAUACCACCCUGUUGUUAUUGAGGUUCUAACUUGGUCCAGUAAUCCUGGAUGAGGACAGUGUAUGAUGGGUAGUUUGACUGGGGCGGUCUCCUCCCAAAGAGUAACGGAGGAGCACAAAGGUACCCUCGGUACGGUCGGACAUCGUACCAAGAGUGUAAAGGCAAAAGGGUGCUUGACUGCGAGAGUGACGGCUCGAGCAGGAACGAAAGUUGGUCUUAGUGAUCCGGUGGUUCUGAAUGGAAGGGCCAUCGCUCAACGGAUAAAAGGUACUCCGGGGAUAACAGGCUGAUACCGCCCAAGAGUUCAUAUCGACGGCGGUGUUUGGCACCUCGAUGUCGGCUCAUCACAUCCUGGGGCUGAAGCAGGUCCCAAGGGUAUGGCUGUUCGCCAUUUAAAGUGGUACGCGAGCUGGGUUUAGAACGUCGUGAGACAGUUCGGUCCCUAUCUGCCGUGGGCGUAGGAAAAUUGAGAGGAGCUGCUCCUAGUACGAGAGGACCGGAGUGGACGAACCUCUGGUGCACCGGUUGUCACGCCAGUGGCAUGGCCGGGUAGCUAAGUUCGGACGGGAUAACCGCUGAAAGCAUCUAAGCGGGAAGCCUCCCUCAAGAUGAGUUUUCCCAUGAAGCCCGUUGAAGACUACGACGUUGAUAGGCAAGGUGUGGAAGCGCAGUAAUGCGUGAAGCUAACUUGUACUAAUUGGCUGAUUGUCUUGACCAUAUAAUCUGAG